ACAUGAGUCUUUGAAGCAGCCACAAGGCGGCAGUAUUGUGCCAAAUUUCACACCACUUGGGUUUAAAACAAAACAAAACAAAUUUUUCUUGAGAGAAAAAAAAAACCACAAAAUUUUCUUGAGGUCUUUUGAGGAAGGUAAUUAUUAAAAAUGAUCCUUUUUCACUACAAUGCUUCCCAAGAAGAAUUUGUGAUUGUAAUUCAUUCCUCUGUCACAAAAAUACGUUAAGAUCUAGUCUCAAAAGUGGCAAUCUUUGUUUUGUUCCCUGCUACACUCUAAGACUCUACCGCGGGGGACAGAGAAGGAGCUAAAACAAAAAACUCUUAAAUUCUGGGUAAUAUUGAAUGAGCUGCCAAAUGAGAACUGGAACACAUCUCUUCCUCCUAAUGUAACACAGGGAUAUUAUUGCUAAUUCACAAAGGGGUUCUUUCCAUUUCUAAGAAAAGGGGUAAAAUAUUACACUUGGCCAUGAAUUUUUCCAUCAAAUAAUUUAAAGAAAUAUGUUACGGAAGACAAUGAUCUCAUCAAUAAUUCCUUUCUCUGUGUUUCUUAUACUUUCUGUUGGAAGAAGCAGUUUCCUGAGAGACUAGGAGUGGAGCCCAGUGGGUCUCCCGCCGUACGCUGCCUGAAAGAAGCCUGUGCAUGCUUUUGAACCAGGAGAUGGAGGAAGUGCACAGGACAAAGAUGUCAGAAAAUACAUCCUCAUUCUAUAAUACGUGGUUCUUCAUAUUUCAAGGUGUUGGAUAUUGUGUCCCAGAGAAAGGAAAGCAACAAAGAGAUAUUUUGGUACUGAGAGUGAGGUCAUUGCUGUGACAUUGCCUGACUAUGUGGUUCAGAAGCCUUUAGAACUGGGUUACCAGAGGAGUUUGGAAAGUUUUAGAGAUGCCAGCUGGAGAAGCAGCCAUUAAAUGCUGUGAGCUGAGUUUGAUGAGAGAUUCUGGUCAGAGCUCAGAAUGCUCAUAGAAAUGCAGCUGGGCUAAGUAGGUUUCAGUUGGGAACAACAACUGCACUGGCAAUUGGAUUCCAGGCCAUGUGUGUCAUGAUUUGGCAAUUUGUCUGCAUUUUGCUCAUGUCCAGAGAUAUUUCUGGAGACUGAGGGUAAGGGCAGCAGACUGAUUAAUCCAGUGGAAGACAUUUUAAGGCAGUCUAAUGUUGAGGUGGUGGCAUGGCUACUAUUGGGGGCUUUAAGCCAGCUGUACCUUGAGAAUCAAGAACCAACUACCCAGGAGAAUGAUCUUAAGAGUUUUGAGUUUGGCCAGAAAGUCAGCUCUGAUAAAGUUGCCACCUGCAAAGAUGGAGUAGAGGAGUACUUAGUUGCUGGAAAGAUUAGCACUGAUGCCAAUGGUGUCUUUGAAAGGGGUCAAUAGAAACAAUGGCCUGGGGCUGUGGAUUUAGCACAGUGAUUCCGCCUCCUGCCUCGUAAGUGCAAGGUCCCGAGAAUGGUAGUAGCCUAGGGAAUUUGUUUCUCAGGAUUGGGAUCAUAGUACUUAGCAAUCUAGGUGCCAGACUUCUACAGCCAAGAGAGAAGGAAGCCUGGCUACUGCUCCAGAUGGAGGCAGACCUUGCUGCCAUUCAUGUGCUACUAGUUUUAGAUGCAUGUAGAAUGCAAGAGAUGUAGGAUCAGGAAGAUUUCCACCUAGAUUUCAGAAGAAGGCCUGGGAAUGCCUCUGAGAGGGCAGUGUGUAGAGCUGUGAGAGUGAAGUUGAAAGUUCAGGAGAGACUCCAGAAAGUUGGAGAAGCCAAGAAGAAGGAUCAUCAGAGGAAAGUCAUGAGGAGUGAACAAAGCUGGCCCAAGAGAGAGACCAUGAGGACCACUGGCAGUGCCGUAGGGGGCCUUACAUCUAAGAAAUUUCCUUAAAUCUCAGAGGAGAAUUUGGACUUGGACUUUUCAGCAGUGCUGAAACUAUUAGCAUUUUGGCAACUCUUAAAGAAGGACUAAAGGUAUUUUGCAUAAAGGGAUGCACAUGAUUCUUUUGGGAGCCAGGGGUAAAAUGUUAUGACUUACAUCUAGAUGUCCCCCCAAAGCCUUAUGUACUUAUAGAUGGGGUUUGGGGGAGUGACUGGAUUGUGGGUCUGUCAUACUGGAUUAGUUCACUGAUUAGUACAGUUCUGGAUGUGGAUGAUGGACUUACUGAAGAGGGAAGACUCACUCUGGAUGUGGGUAGCACAAAUCAAUAGGCUUGCAGCCUGAAUGGAAUAAAAAGGGAAAGAAGAAGGAAGGUUUGCUGCUUUCUGCCUGUCAUGACCCUCUGUCAUGCUGCCCUGCCUUAGACCCAGUCAACCAUGGACUUAACCCUCUAGAAACUGUGAGCUAAAAGAAAUCUUUCCUUCUUUAAUUUGUAGGUGUCAGGUAUUGUGUUCCAGUGGUGAGAAAGUUCCUAAGACAAGCCUAGAGUCAAGGGGAAGAUUAAAUGUGGUUUAGGAUUGUCAGGAAAGCUUGCUACAUUAUUUCUAAGGGACUCAAAAAAUAGAACAAGGAGCAGAAAGAUGGACGUUCAUUUCCAGGAAGGAGACUAAUAUUAGUGAAAGCAUGAAGGAGAGAGAGAACUCAUUUACUGAAGGUGUAUUAGAUAGCAUGUGCUAUAGAUAUAUUCAGGAAAUGAAGUAAAUAUUUUAUAUUCUCAGCAGGUCUUUCAGGUAGAUAUUAUUAUUUCUAUCUGACAAAAGGACAAUAUUGCUUAGGGUAAGUUGCACUAGGUCAUCCAAUCCAUGAUAAAUGCAAUUCAGAUUUAAUCACUAUAUCUGUCUGAGACUCAAGAGAUGGACUGUGUCCAGCAGCUAAUUGCCUUCUUUCCAUGUCUGUGUUAUAGAGAGGAUACUGUCUCACCCCUAGCAAAUUAAAUUGGUGAAUAGAUAGAGCCAUAUUAAAGAGGGCUGCAGAUGGCAGGAUGAUACUUUGUUGUUAUCGCUUGUAUCUAGAUAUCUCAAAACCUCAUGUGCUCAUAGCUGGGGCUUUUAGGAGGUGGCUGGAUCAGGGGUGUGUGAUACUGGCAGUAAGGAUGUGUAGUACUGUAUUCAUCCACUGAUUGUUUAGCAUAGUUCUGUGUGUGGAUAAUGAGAAAGCCCACCUGGGUUGAGUGGUACCAUCCAAUAGGGUUGUAGCCUGGAUAGGAUAAAAAUCCAAAAGGCUUGCUGCUCUCUGCCUUCUUGUCUAUCCUGCCAUGGACUGUUUCUCUUCUGCCAUGCCCCUCGGCCACGCUGCCCUGCCUUGGAGCCAGCCAACUGUGUGCUGAAACCUCUACAAACUGUGAGCUUAAAUAAAUCUUUCCUCCUUUAACUUGUGGAUGUCAGGUAUUUUGUUCCAGCACAGAAAAAGUAACUAAAAUAAAUGUGAUUACAGAUGGUCACUGGCAAUUUUUAAGUUGGGAAUUAAUAUAGUAUGAGCAAUGUUUAGGAGAGAAAAAUGCAAGUGGUUUGACAAAUAGAAAUAGGUAAAUUUAUGGUAAGUAGAAAUAAGGGGCUCUUUUAAAAACUCAGGGAUCAAAAGAUGUGGGAUUUGGCUAUAAUGAAGGCAUGAAUUUAGCAAUGAGGAGAUGAAAGUGAGAAAACAUUAAAAGAAAAAUCAAAAGGACUUAGAGCAGAUUGAAUACAGGGAAAGAUACACACCAGUGACUUGUAGAGAAACUUUUGUCAGUUAUAAGAGUUACAGUGCUGUGGACAGAAAUGCAAAAGUUGAGAGACAGAGGGAGUCUGAAACUUUGAUAAAAUGGGUAUUUUUUGCCAGUGUAACCAGGGAAUGUGGCAUGCUUCCAGGUAAGAAAGAAGAAAAUAAAUUUCUCUCUAUCGAUAAUUUCUAUAUCUCAAAAUGUAGAAGUUUUAAAUGCAAAUAUUUUAUUUGUUCUGCCUAGAAGACCUCAAAUAUAAUAAAGAAUAUGUUAUAGUCUUUCUGUUCUUCAACUGUGAAGCUAAGAGAAUAAGAGAUUUAUGAAGGAUGAAGUCUAUUGUUUCAGAAACUUUGCAGACCAGAAGGCAGUGGGAUGUUGCAUUUUAAUUGCUGAAAUAAGAAUUGCUGUCAACUGAGAAUUCUGUAUCCAGCAAAACUGUGUUUCACUGACAAAGAAGAAAUGAAGACAUCUCCAGGAAAACAAAAGCUGAGGGAGUUAAUUGCUGCUAGGCAUUCCCUUGGAGAAAUGGUAAAUGCAGCUCUUCAAUUUGAAAUGGAAGAACGCUAAAGAGUGAUGCAAAGGCAUGCAAAAAUAUAGUUAUCUGAGUAAACAUAAAUCUAUGGAUCAAUACACUUUUUUAAAAGGUAUUAUUAUAAUGCUGAUUGACAACUUCACUUUCUAUUUUCAAUAAGAUUUAAAAACAAAAGCAUAAACAUAGCUAUUAAUCUAGCUUAACAGGUACACAAAUAUAAAGAUAUAAUUUGUGACACUAAUAACAUAGUGUUUGUGGGGGAGUGAAGCUGUAAAGGAAUAGAAUUUCUUUAUGCAAAUGAAAUUAAUUGGCUAUCAUAAAAUAGUGUUAUAACUUCAUGAUGUUAGAUGUAAUCCCUGUGGUAAGUACAAAGAAAGUAUCUAUUGCAAAUACACAAAAGGGAAUGAAAAGGGAAUCAAAACAUGUCACUGCAGAAAACUGACUAAAUAAAAGCAAUAAUGGAGAUAGUGAGGGACAAACAAAGUAUCAGACACACAGAAAACAAAUAACAAAAUUGCUAAAAUAAGUCUUUUCCUACUAAUGGUUAGUUUAAAUGUAAAUGGAUUAAACUCACCAGAUCAAAGAACAGAGAUUGGCAGAAUGGAUUUUAAAAAAUCAAGAUUCAGCUGUGUAUUAUUUGCAGAGCUUUGCUUUAGAUCCAAGAACAUGCCUAAAUAGAAAGUGAAAGAAUGGAAAGAAUAUUCCAUGCAAAAAGUAAUUGAAAGAGAGGAGAGGUGGCUAUCCUAACAUAACACAAAAUACAUUUUAAGCAAAAAGCCAUUACAACAGUCAAAGAAAAAUAUUAUAUAUGAUAAAAGGGUCAUUUCACCAAGAAGAUACAAUCAUUAUGAAUAUAAAUGCACCCAAAAUCAGAACUCCAAAAUAUGCAGUAAUACUUUGAUUCUGGAAUGCUUCUGUUUGUAAACAAUUCAGUUCAUAAACAAAGUGUUUGGCAAAAUUUUGCUUCUGUUUUCAAACUCCACAUUGGGUGACAAACCUGACUAUGCCUAUCUUCCUCACAUGAACAAAAAAGUAGCUAUCUUCCCUAAAUUGGAAUACCAAUUAAAUUCAUAAACCAACAUGCUACUGUACUAAGAAAUACUGUCAGAAUUGAAGGGAGAAAUUGGCAGCUUUAUAAUAAUAGGAAAUUUUAAUACAUAACUCAUGAUGAUGAAUGGAACAACUAAAUAAAAGAUUAACAAGGAAACAAAAGAUUAUGAACAAUCCUGCAUAGUCAUUGGCUCUAACCGGCAUAUGCAGAACUCUCCAUCCAACAACAGCAGAAUAGAAUAUAUGCUUUUUUCCCAAAUGUACACAGAACAUUCUCCAGGAGAGACUACAUGUUAGGCUAAAAAUAAUUUUUAAUACAUUUUAAAAGAAUGAAUGAUACAAACUAUCUUGUAUUGAUCACAAUAGAGUGAAACUGGAAAUCAACUUCUGAUAAAAACUUGAAUAAUUUACCACUAUGUGGAAAAAAUAGGGUCUUAUACAAUGAUGUCAAGGAAGAAAUCGUAAGAGAAACUGAAAAAUAUCUCGAGAUAAAUAAAAAACAAAAAAUCAUUGAAUAUAGCAAAAUCAGUGCUACAUCAGUGCUGCAAAAUCAGUGCUACACAAGAAAAAGAGAGAAAAGUUUCAAGCCAUUAAACUUUCACCCUACGGUGCAUAAAAACCAUACUUAAACUAUGCUCAAACAAAGACAAUGAACUAUGCUCAAAGCUAUCAAAAUGCAAAGAAUAACAAAGA
Molecule: long non-coding RNA, 5880 nt
Organism: Heterocephalus glaber (naked mole-rat)
Lineage: Eukaryota; Metazoa; Chordata; Mammalia; Rodentia; Bathyergidae
Source: RefSeq, a predicted model, not a curated record